This 29-nucleotide non-coding RNA is filed under the name Cricetulus griseus (Chinese hamster). The record is from RNAcentral. Lineage: Eukaryota; Metazoa; Chordata; Mammalia; Rodentia; Cricetidae.
AACUCUAUAUCCUGUGGGCAACACUUGCC